CAGUCGCCGCGGUAAUACGUAGGUCCCGAGCGUUGUCCGGAUUUAUUGGGCGUAAAGCGAGCGCAGGCGGUUAGAUAAGUCUGAAGUUAAAGGCUGUGGCUUAACCAUAGCACGCUUUGGAAACUGUUUAACUUGAGUGCAAGAGGGGAGAGUGGAAUUCCAUGUGUAGCGGUGAAAUGCGUAGAUAUAUGGAGGAACACCGGUGGCGAAAGCGGCUCUCUGGCUUGUAACUGACGCUGAGGCUCGAAAGCGUGGGGAGCAAACAGGAUUAGAUACCCGCGUAGUCCCUGUCUCUUAUACA
RNAcentral lists this ribosomal RNA (301 nucleotides) under uncultured bacterium. RNAcentral describes it as "partial 16S ribosomal RNA". It matches the Rfam family "Bacterial small subunit ribosomal RNA", at positions 509 to 808 of the family's 1533-position model. The record is from RNAcentral.